UACAGAGGUCUCGAGCGUUAGGCGGAAUCACUGGGCUUAAAGCGUGUGUAGGCGGAUCGGUAAGUACCUUGUGAAAUCCCACAGCUUAACUGUGGAACUGCUUGGUAUACUGCCAGUCUUGAGCCACUCAGGGGCUACCGGAACAAAUGGUGGAGCGGUGAAAUGCGUAGAUAUCAUUUGGAACGCCAAUGGUGAAAACAGGUAGCUGGGAGUGUGCUGACGCUGAGACACGAAAGCCAGGGGAGCAAACGGG
RNAcentral lists this ribosomal RNA (253 nucleotides) under uncultured bacterium. RNAcentral's name for it is "partial 16S ribosomal RNA". It matches the Rfam family "Bacterial small subunit ribosomal RNA", at positions 524 to 776 of the family's 1533-position model. The record is from RNAcentral.